UGGGGAAUAUUGCACAAUGGGCGCAAGCCUGAUGCAGCCAUGCCGCGUGUAUGAAGAAGGCCUUCGGGUUGUAAAGUACUUUCAGCGGGGAGGAAGGCGAUAAGGUUAAUAACCUUGUCGAUUGACGUUACCCGCAGAAGAAGCACCGGCUAACUCCGUGCCAGCAGCCGCGGUAAUACGGAGGGUGCAAGCGUUAAUCGGAAUUACUGGGCGUAAAGCGCACGCAGGCGGUCUGUCAAGUCGGAUGUGAAAUCCCCGGGCUCAACCUGGGAACUGCAUUCGAAACUGGCAGGCUAGAAUCUUGUAGAGGGGGGUAGAAUUCCAGGUGUAGCGGUGAAAUGCGUAGAGAUCUGGAGGAAUACCGGUGGCGAAGGCGGCCCCCUGGACAAAGACUGACGCUCAGGUGCGAAAGCGUGGGGAGCAAACA
This 427-nucleotide ribosomal RNA is filed under the name uncultured bacterium. RNAcentral's name for it is "partial 16S ribosomal RNA". It matches the Rfam family "Bacterial small subunit ribosomal RNA", at positions 355 to 774 of the family's 1533-position model. The record is from RNAcentral.